CUCUCCGGUUAAUACCCGGAGACGAUGACAUUAGCUGCAGAAUAAGCACCGGCUAACUCUGUGCCAGCAGCCGCGGUAAUACAGAGGGUGCAAGCGUUAAUCGGAAUUACUGGGCGUAAAGCGAGCGUAGGUGGCUUGAUAAGUCAGAUGUGAAAGCCCCGGGCUUAACCUGGGAACGGCAUCUGAUACUGUUAGGCUAGAGUAGGUGAGAGGAAGGUAGAAUUCCAGGUGUAGCGGUGAAAUGCGUAGAGAUCUGGAGGAAUACCGAUGGCGAAGGCAGCCUUCUGGCAUCAUACUGACACUGAGGUUCGAAAGCGUGGGUAGCAAACAGGAUUAGAUACCCUGGUAGUCCACGCCGUAAACGAUGUC
This 369-nucleotide ribosomal RNA is filed under the name uncultured Psychrobacter sp. RNAcentral describes it as "bacterial SSU rRNA". It matches the Rfam family "Bacterial small subunit ribosomal RNA", at positions 449 to 813 of the family's 1533-position model. The record is from RNAcentral. Lineage: Bacteria; Pseudomonadati; Pseudomonadota; Gammaproteobacteria; Moraxellales; Moraxellaceae.